This 228-nucleotide long non-coding RNA is filed under the name Elaeis guineensis (African oil palm). RNAcentral describes it as "long non-coding RNA (EGUI_LNC070050)". Lineage: Eukaryota; Viridiplantae; Streptophyta; Magnoliopsida; Arecales; Arecaceae. The record is from RNAcentral.
AAGGCUGCAGAGAUUUGUUGAGAAGCUGCUGCUCCAGCUUCAGAAGAUCUUUUGAAGAUCUUCUAGAUCAGAUCCAGAUCUAAUUUUUGGAGCAAAAAUUUACAAGGAGAAGACAAUCUAGAUCCUGCUUGAGUGGAUAUUGGUAGAGGCCAGGCGACUACAUGGCUAUUUUAGAACCUCGAGCAUUGCUGCGAUCAUCUACAGGGUAAUCUAGUUACCUUAGAGGUA